This 253-nucleotide ribosomal RNA is filed under the name uncultured bacterium. RNAcentral's name for it is "partial 16S ribosomal RNA". It matches the Rfam family "Bacterial small subunit ribosomal RNA", at positions 524 to 776 of the family's 1533-position model. The record is from RNAcentral.
UACAGAGGGUGCGAGCGUUAAUCGGAAUUACUGGGCGUAAAGCGCACGUAGGUGGCGACGUAAGUCGGGUGUGAAAGCCCCGGGCUCAACCUGGGAAUUGCAUUCGAGACUGCAUUGCUGGAGUACGGAAGAGGAGGGCGGAAUUCCCGGUGUAGCGGUGAAAUGCGUAGAUAUCCGGAGGAACACCGGUGGCGAAGGCGGCUUCCUGGACCGACACUGACGCUGAGGCGCGAAAGCUAGGGGAGCAAACGGG